CCUCUCUUCCUGCUUUCUUGACCCUCUCCGCCAUUUAAAGAAACAGUACCGGGGGCGGGCCGAGCGACGCAGCCGGGACGGCAGCUGCGGCGCGGACCGGAGGAGCCAUCUUGUCUCGUCGCCGGGGAGUCAGGCCCCUAACUCGAAGAAGCCCUGGCGCGCCCUCCCCCCCUCCCCGGUCUGGUAGGGCGAAGGAGCGGGCGCGCGGUCGAUCGAGCGAUCGGUUGGCGGCUCUUUCUCCUGCUCUGGCAUCCAGCUCUUGGGGCGCAGGCCCGGCCGCCACGGCGCGCGCCCGGUGGCCGUUGGCGUUCGCGCCGCGUCUUUCUUCUCGUACGCAGAACUCGGGCGGCGGCCUAUGCGUUUGCUAUCCGACGAGGAGUCGUCCGGGUGGUCGGCGGCGGCGGGCAGUUGCUCCGCCCCGCUCCUGGGGAGGCGGCGGCGGCGGCGGCGGCGGCGGCGGGAUUUGGCACGGCCGGGGAAGCUGGGGUGGCCGGGGCCGGCCUGGAGGCCUGGCACCACCCUUCGGGGCCUGCAAGGACCCAAUUGGGGGGACAGGAGGGAGCCGGGGGAUGGUUGGUGGUGGGCUUUCUACUUUGUCUUUUCCUCCUUAUGCCGCCUUAGUGAGGGGCGGGAGCGCUGGAGGCCGCUCCGGGGUGGAGAGACAAGCUCCGGAGUCGGAAGAGCUGGGUUUGCUUCCGGGCCUAACCACCAGCUGGCCGAGUGACCUUAGGCAAGUCACUCUGUAAUUUAUCUGCGCCUCAGUUUCCUCCUUCUCCAUCAAUGUUUGUGGGAUUGAAAGCGCUUUGUAAACUGUAAAGCGUCGCUGUAUGUAAGGGAUGAUUAUUGUUCGUAAUGGCUUGGUUUUUUGUUUUUUGGUUUUUUUUUUUUGGAGUUGUAAGAAAACUUAGAAAUUGCCCAAUCCUUGGAUUUUGAACCUGGAAACCUUGGAUUGGAGGUGGAGAUCCCCAAACUCCUUGAAAUUGUAUGCAGAAAUUAGGGGGAAUGUGCAUUUUAGAGAAUGAGAAGCCAUCGCCAGCAAGUUUUCAUUGGGGGCUGUGACCCAGAAGAAUUAAGAACCACAUUUCCUUUGUCACAAGGAGGAAACUGAGGCCAGAUGUCAUUUGGGACCCUUCACAACCAAUUCGAAGCCCCUGUUUGAAUCCCUGAGAUAUGUGAGCUGUUCUGUGCAUAGUGGAUAUUCGUGGUAACAACACUCCACUUCUUGGCUUCUAUUUUGAGUUCUUUCACCAUGGGUUGCCUAAAGGGUGACUGAUGCUUAAAGGUACAGUGGCACCCAGCAUAAAGCAGCUAAAACUGGGCAUGGAUAUGUUCUCUAGUAUCAAGAAGCUUAUUUAAUCUUUGGCCCAACAACUUUUUUUUUUCUGGUGCCUGACUACCUUUCUGACUCUUCAUUGACCAUUUUCUAUGACCAUGGUUGCCAUCCGUUACUUUCCCCUAUUUUAUAUUCCUAGUCUGUGUGGUUGGUAGUGAGCAGGCUUAUUUUUAAAUGGUGCUGCCAAGUCCAACUAAUUAAUGGUGCAGGUGGAUUUUUAGCAAGCUGGCUCACUAGAACAGACUGAACCAGGCAUGGAAUUCUUGAAAAUGUUUGGGGGGUUGAGUCUUUAUUAAUUGAAGGUUAACGUUUUCUGAGAAGUUUUGUUAGAAUUUUCUGCUGAACCUCAAAAUCAGAUUGAAAGUGUUUCAACCUUAAAUUUUUUCUGGUCUGCUUUGUAUUCUAUUUGCUUGCAAGUGUGUUACUAAGAUGGCCAAAAUGCCAGUUUUUGCUUCUUUGUUAAUUGUCAGCUGCUUUUAUCAAAUAUCAGGCAGUUAUCCAGCAAACACUAUAGAAAUGUUUGAACAGUUGGCUUUCAAACAUUUUCAUUUUGUGGAGUGGUGCUUACCAUUGGUACAGCUCUAAGCAAGCAAACGCAAACACUUUUAAGUGUAUUUUGUCUGUUAGGUGUUAGCCGGUUCUGCUAUUUCAUACAAAUGUCUGGAAAUCAAUUGACUAUUCCCUUUACCUAGAGGGCAGAGACAAAUGAUCUCAAUUCCAGAGAAAUGACUGUUUUGGAGAAAACUGUGUUGGUCUUUUAGCUCUUUUGUAAUUAAAUCUGGAUGUACCUCAAAAGAAUCUUAAGACUGGUGAUAAAAUGCUUUCCUCAGGAGAAAGGAGGAAAAAAACCAACUGGAACUCAAAGCUUGAAAUUCUUUGACAAACAUAAGAUAUCCAGGAUGGGAAGUUGAAAGGGUUUCACUACAUAGCGUUCUGCACUAGCUGGAGCAGAUGUCUUUCAGUGUGGUUAUGGCGUGGACUUCAGAUUUUCAAGAACUGGAUCUGGGACCUGGAAGAAUUAUCAAGAUGUGACACGAAGUUGGGAGCUGGAUUUUUUUAUUUUUGAAUUUAUGGACUCUUGUCCUUGCUUUGAGAAAAGACAAUGACUGAGCAAGCACUGCCACCAGCGCUGUUACUGGGAAUUCGGAGACCUGAGUUUUUGCCAGAUCCUCGGUGCAAACUCUGGCGACGCUCCAUCCAAAGUGAAAAACGUCUUGUGCCUCCUGGUUGCCGAGUAUUCACCUGGACCUUCUAACCACCUUCCUUGAGCUAUUCCAUCAGCCUUCAUAUCUGUACCUGGAAUUUUGCCCAUGGUGAUUCCUGCCACCUUACUACUGAAGAAGACAACCAUGCCAGUGAACCACUGUGACUCGAGGCAUCCAGCAAAUUUGAAUCAUCAUCAUGUGGCCUUCACCUCCACUCCUGUCCUGUUCUACCCAGAUUCAACACAGCCCUUUGUAGUGAAGUCAAACUCCUCAAGCCAAAUAGCUGAAGCUGUUUUAUCACAAUUAAGGCUCAGUUUGUUCCAUGAGUGUGCUUUCGUUUCUUCAGUUAAAGCCUUCAGAGACACAUAAUAAAUUUGGACCAGGGGAUUUUAGUUAUCAACACUGUCUGAAGAAUGGCACCAUCUUUUUGAGAACCACAUUGAACCCCGCCCCAAAAUCUCAAAUGAUUGAAGUUCAUGAAGUAUCUAAGAUCCCAUCCAAGUCACUGAACUCUGUUUUUCCAUUUCAAAUCUGUAGUAUCCUACUGAAUAAGCAAGCAGAUAUUCUGACCGUUUGGGAUUAAAACAAAGGCACAGUGAACUCAGAGCAUCCUUGGGAUUACUCAGGAACCAGAACUUUUCACACAAAUGUAAGAAAUUCUACCAAGAUAUCCCUUUACCUAACAGCAUCUCACAAAGCUCCAAUCAGAUUCCAGAAAAGGCCUCUUGAUACAUCCAGGUAGAACCUAUAUGGUAAUCCCUUAUGUUUAUAUAGCACUUUACAGUUUCAAAAGCACUUUUACAUGCAUUAAUCUCAAUUAUCAAAUAACACAGUUAUAAUCCUGUUUUGCAAAUGAGGAAAUGGAAAUUUAAAAGGUUGUCCAAGGUUAAACAGAUACAAAAUAGUAGAAGCCAGGCCUUCUGACUCCCAGUCCAGUUCUCUCCUUGGAAUUAACUUAGCCUCUAUUUUACCCACAGUGUUAAAAUAAAUGGAGAUUGAGAACCUCAGAAAAGUUUCCAACUUCCUGAUCUGGUACCCCCAGUCAGUCAGGAUAAUCUUGUGCUGGCUGUAGCUAGACCAGAAUUCUAUGGCAACAUCUCUGAAGUUUAGCAAUAGACUGUCUCCAUGAUGGUAGAUUGUCCAGUCAGUAAGGCAAAUGUUCAUCUGACAAUAAGAUUACCCAGCAUGAAAUAAAGCAACUUUUAAAUCUUUCUUCAUCUUCAUAGUCUUCCCAAAAAUGGCCUAAUUAAUUGGGGAUCCCUAUUCAUAUCAUGUCUUUUUUUUUUUUUUAAGUCUUAUUAAUAUUCCUGACAGCAAGGUCUUACCUAUGAUCCGCUAUCCCCAAACUAUUAUUUACAUAAUAUGAGCCAUCAAUUUUUUUAGAACAGUACUGUUCAUAUAUAUAUGUGUGUGUGUAUUUAUGUAUAUAUUUGAUAUACACAUAUAAUAUAUAUCAUAGAGCUUCUGUAGUCCAAUAGGUGGUAAAAUGUGUACCCUUCCCUGAUACAUAAUGCAGUGUAGUGUAUUAAAGGAUUUCAGAAGGUUUGCAGUAAAGAGCCUCAUUUAGCUGUUUAGUCCAGUUGUCCCAAGUUUAAUGAAACACAGAAUGUUACUUUUGCAGCAUUGUUUUUAAUGGAAUGGGAAAACUGCUUUGGAGCAGUAAAACCAGUGCUUGCUGAUUGGCAGCAAAUUGCCCUGGAGACCCAGAAAUAAACAGCAUCUUUGAACCCACCCUUUUUCUUACCUUGUCAGUAACUUCUUGAAUUAGUGUGUCUCCAUCAUCUGAGAGCCCCACAUCUUGACAGUUGUGUUCAUUUUCUAUCAAAGGAACCUCUAGGAGGUUUGUGUCGAUGCAUGGGAAGGGAAUGGGGGGAGUUAAUUCUGCCACGAAAUUAUAUGAAUUCCAUGGCUUUUAGCAGUAUACAUCUCUGUCUCCAGAAUUGUGUUAUAAACCUAGUUCAAGGGCAUUGCAUCUCAGGUGGGUGAGGAGACUGGGAAGGGAGGAGGAAAAGGAUAGAGAAAAGGGGAAGAAGGGGUGAAAAGAUAUUGCUUAGGAUUUGAGUUUUGGCCCACUGAGAUCUUACUAGUCUUUGAAGAGAAGUCAUCCAGCUCAGGACUUCUUGGAAUAAUAUUUACAAAGAAAUGAAUGCAUUUUGCAGCUAUAUGCUGACUGCAAAAACCCCAGUAUUAUUGUCACUUAAAACCAAUAGCCUCACUUACAAGCCCAGUUUCAGGCAAUCCGAAUUUGUAGCAGACUUGAAUGUUAACUUCAUCAUUCUAUAAUGUGGCGUACGUUAGGGGAAGAAUAAAUAGGAAAACACUUUCUAGGCUUACCACUUGGCUUUGCUUAUACAGUUUCUGGUUUCUGUGACCUAUUUUUUGUAUUUCAGCAUUUUGUGAACAGCUUAUUCUUAGAUCAUUGGUUUUCCAAAGGCUUUGUGGCCAUGAAGCCCUUUGAAUGAAUGCUAUACGGAAGACCAGAGUUAAAGUGAAGCUGCUCUGGAAGAAGCAGAAGUGGGGGGCCUGAAACCUGCCACAAGCAUCUUACUUUACCACCAUGGUGACACCUCAGGAGACUUCUUUACAGCACCUAGAAUUCUUCAGAACACAGUUUGAAAACCACUGCCCUAGACGACAUUGUGUUCAACUUGAAAGGCAUUCUGUUCUGUACCUCUACCCAACACCAUCCAUGUUCAGUUGAUGUUCAACAUCAUUAAGAAUACUUAACUGUGGGUAAACUCAGAAAAGUACAAGAAGAUGGGCAUAUCUUUGCCCAUCUGCCCUUUGCCCCUAGAUGGACUUCCAGUGAUUCCUAGAAUUGGAUAUAGCUAGAGAGCAAUUCAUACAUACUCUACACUGAUAAACCCCUUUACCCAGUUUCUUUUUAUAAACACCAGAUACUCUAGUGGUACUUGAAAUACAUGACCUCGAAGUCUUAAUCCUCCUUGGAUACAUGAAUGACGUGGUAUUGAAGUUGAUGCCUCAUUGAGGUCAUAUUCAACCAACUAUACAUUGGACCUCCUGUCAUCAGCCAUGGUACUCUACUUUGUGUGCAAGGGAUAACCAUUAACUGUGAAAGUAGAAUUCAAAUAUUGGCAAUGUUACCUAAAAGGGUACAUGGUUUUAUUCACCUUCUCAAACUAUAAGUUACUGUCACUCAACCAGUGGCAGUUACACUGCUCCUUGGUUUUUAAUUCAGUUUGAUUGCUGUUUCCAGGAUUUAAUGAGCUAAUAAUCCUUAAGAAAAAUUGCUAAAACAAUUCCUCCAUCACUGGCAUAUCUGCCUAUUCUGCUCUAAAAUUACAAUACUCAGCUCAACUACAUGUAACACCUGAUCCACAGGAGACAAUAUCUGAACAUACUUUCUUGUGAUUUAAAAUGUGGCCAUUUGCAAAACUUUCUUCCAAACAACGGGAGAUUUUAAGAUGGGUCUUUUAAUGUUUCUUCCAAACAACUGUAGAUGUUAAGGAUAUUUGGAGGUAGGCCUUUUGACCAGGCCACAGUAGCUUACUCGGAGGGCAUGUCAGAUUGCAUGUCAUCUACCUUUUUGCUGGAAAUGUAGACCAACUUGAAAGAAAAUCUGCAAAGCCUGUGGCUACAGAUUUUAUGAGUAGACUCAAGAGCUUCCUGAUGCUUCUUAAUGUCACAAGACCACAGUCCCUUAUCCUUAUGGAUAUUUCCAUGGAAUUUCAUCUGUCUCAAUACUGUUUUACACUGAAUCAGAGUGGCUGACUUCAUUCCUCGUCUUGAGAUACUCUUGGGCAUUAAGACAACCCAUAUGUCUCUGCAGGAGGGAUUCAAUUAAUGAACUCCCAGACCAGAUCAUGUAGAACAAGUAGACUUCACUUUGUGUCAUGAGAAAAAAAAAAAUCUCAUUUCUUUACUUCAGAGUCAACUUAAGGGCCAGCUGUCCUCAACUACUUUAAUGAAUGCACUGGUUAAAUGUUGGGAAUGGUUUCUUUAUAUCUUUGUCUCAUCCUCUGUACUAACUGACUCAGUCUUCAAAUCAUCAAACAGGGCCUAAGUCUGAUUACUCUGUACUGCUCAACCCUCAACAAAUUAAAAUCUGAUGACCAGCCUGCUUGUAUAUGCAACUAUUAUUUGUAAAGAAGAAGCUUAUCUGCAGACUCAUUGUUUUCUACCUUGAAAAUGUCAGCUUGACUUUCCUUUUCUCCUGUACUUGACAGAAAAAGACAUUGAUCUACACUGCAAGUCAUUCCUUUCAAUCCUGUCAAAAUGAGGGACCUAAAAUGAAAAUGAUCAUCUAUUCAAGAGUCUGAUGUACACUGUGUAUAGGAAUUGAUGAUUCAAAAAGCCUAAAACUCAAACCUUUUAUCUUCAUGCCUCAAAUCUCAUCUAAAUCUUUUAGCAGUACCAUUCAACCAGUCUGAGGCCUUGAUGUCCUUGUAAGACGAUUCUCAAGAGAUGUGCUGAGUUCCAGAAGAUGGAGACUUGAUUACCAAAGAAAGUAGGGCCAACCUUGAUGAACCUGGCUCUCCCAACCCUGUCACUCCCAGAUGUAGCAUAGACUCCUAAACAGAACCCUCAAGUCUGUAUCGAGGAUAUAACCCUCUGAGCUGAAAGAUCUUGGGCAGAUGAGCAGGAAAAUGAAAGUUGCUGUACCUGACUGGCCCAGUAUGAUCAGAAAAUUGUAUCCAGAGUAAACCCUAUGGAUUAAUAACCCUGGAGUACUCAGGGUAAAAACUAAUUUACAGAGCUUUGAUAUUAAACUGCCUGUUCUUCCAGAUCAUAGCCUGGCUAUUGAUAUGGCUGGCCCUGCUUGCCUCUUUACCUAACUCAGCCCUUGCCUGCCUUUUUGACUGCAGUCCAACUGGCUGUGCUUGAUAAAACUACAGCUGAUCUCAACCUAUCUUAUACCCAGUUCCACCAAGGAGUUUUGAACAGAAGCACCCUGCACCCCACCAUGACUUAGUGUUCACUGCAGGAAGGAGCAUGCUUUUUUUUUUUUUUUUUUUAAUUUUAUCUUUUUUAAUACUUGGGACCCUUUCUACUAGGCCUGGAGGAGUACAGCAGAUUGAAAGCAUUGCCCAUUCUCUCUUCUACAGUAAUACAGAGAUGAAGCUGAUUCACCAGGACUCACAGAAAUGUACCGAUUCAACUUGGCAAAAGACAUGAACACAAGAAACUUUUCCACUAAACUUAAAAUUCGCCACUGACUUGAAUAGCCUCAUAGAACUAUUUGCCAGUAGAAGGCUGGUUGUCCUGCUUCAUGUCAGCAAGACAGCUGGACUCUCACACAUGACCACUGAGUUUGCUUACAUCGAAACUGUUGUAUCAUUCAAAGUAUCUACUGGACAUGAUUAUUCCAUUCAAAUGGAUUACAAGCUUCGAGUAGAAGACAGACUUACUCCUCAUGAUUUUUUCCAGAAUGCUCCUAUUGUCAAGGAAGUCUACACCAGCUGUUAACCAUUCAACUCUAUGAGCAGAGAUUAAAUUUUUUCAAUAUCUGUUCUUAUCGUUGACAUCAGUUGUUUUUGAUUGACCAACACCUAUUCCAUCUCUUUAUAAAUAAAAACAACUCCCUGAUGCUUCUUGGAACCACCUCUCUCUUUUUCAAUUCAUGUGGUUCAGUCUGACCUAACCUUAGGUUUCAUGGGUGGACAUGUAAUUCAAACCUGAUCAGUCAGCAAAAUCCAUCUCCUUGACCAUAGUGAUUGGUUCAGGAAUGAUCAUGUGAUUCAAGUUGGUCCAGUGAUUACUUAAUCCUGAGAGUUUUAGUGAACUGUGUAGGAGAAGCUCAGAGGCUGUUUACUGAGGUUGCUUAGCUCUGUAGGAUGAAAAGCUCAAACCAACAGGGCCUACCAUAUCAAAUAAGCCAGUCAGAGAAUGAAGCCAGUGCAGAGGAAGGCGGAGCCAAAUGAUGGAGAGACUUAAGUUCUGAUGAUAAUUUUUUGUGCCCCUGGAUCCAACCGUGCCUGAAGCUAGAAUAUCCCCUGGACUUUUCAGUUAUGUAAACCAAUAAAGACCCUUUUUUGCUUAAGUUA
Sus scrofa (pig) is the source of this 8543-nucleotide non-coding RNA. The record is from RefSeq and is a predicted model, not a curated record. NCBI's taxonomy places the organism in Eukaryota, Metazoa, Chordata, Mammalia, Artiodactyla, Suidae.